AGCUUUGGGGUGUAAACACGCCGGAUUGCAAAUCCGGAGAAGCAGAUUGACGUCUGCCGGGGCUU
RNAcentral lists this transfer RNA (65 nucleotides) under Gobiusculus flavescens. RNAcentral's name for it is "tRNA-Cys". It matches the Rfam family "tRNA". From Rfam's summary of the family: Transfer RNA (tRNA) molecules are approximately 80 nucleotides in length. Their secondary structure includes four short double-helical elements and three loops (D, anti-codon, and T loops). The record is from RNAcentral. Lineage: Eukaryota; Metazoa; Chordata; Actinopteri; Gobiiformes; Gobiidae.